AAAAAAACAAAACCUGGGUCUACGUGUCCAACGUUUGACUGUCCGUUUUAUAUGAAAUUUUUUUAUAAUUAGUAUUUUCAUUGUUGUUAGAUGAUAAAACAUGAUUAAUACUUUAUGUGUGACUUAUCCUUUUAAUUUUUUUCAUAUUUUUUUCAAAUAAGACGGACAGUCAAACGUUGGACACGGAAACCCAGGGUUUGUCUUUUU
Oryza sativa Indica Group (long-grained rice) is the source of this 207-nucleotide microRNA precursor. It matches the Rfam family "MIR812 microRNA precursor family". The record is from Rfam. Lineage: Eukaryota; Viridiplantae; Streptophyta; Magnoliopsida; Poales; Poaceae.